Molecule: ribosomal RNA, 406 nt
Filed under: uncultured bacterium
Lineage: Bacteria
Description: partial 16S ribosomal RNA
Rfam family: Bacterial small subunit ribosomal RNA
Source: RNAcentral
AUUGAACGCUGGCGGCAGGCCUAACACAUGCAAGUCGAACGAGUGGCGGACGGGUGAGUAAUGUCUGGGAAACUGCCCGAUGGCGGGGGUUAACUACUGGAAACGGAAGCUAAUACCGCAUACCAUCGGAUGUGCCCAGAUGGGAUGAGCUAGGAGGUGGGGUAACGGCGCACCUAGGCGACGAUCCCUAGCUGGGCUGAGAGGAUGACCAGUCACACUGGAACUGAGACACGGUCCAGACUCCUACGGUAGGCAGCAGUGGGGAAUAUUGCACAAUGGGCGCAAGCCUGAUGCAGCCAUGCCGCGUGUGUGAAGAAGGCCUUCGGGUUGUAAAGUACUUUCAGCUAGGAGGCGUUACUCGCAGAAGAAGCACCGGCUAACUCCGUGCCAGCAGCCGCGGUAAUAC